RNAcentral lists this ribosomal RNA (224 nucleotides) under uncultured bacterium. RNAcentral's name for it is "partial 16S ribosomal RNA". It matches the Rfam family "Bacterial small subunit ribosomal RNA", at positions 15 to 219 of the family's 1533-position model. The record is from RNAcentral.
GAUCAUGGCUCAAGAUGAACGCUGGCGGCGUGCUUAACACAUGCAAGUCGAGCGAAGCACUUUACUUGGAUUUCUUCGGAAUGACGAGUAUUGUGACUGAGCGGCGGACGGGUGAGUAACGCGUGGGUAACCUGCCUCAUACAGGGGGAUAACAGUUAGAAAUGACUGCUAAUACCGCAUAAGACCACAGCACCCCAUGGUGCAGAGGUAAAAACUCCGGUGGU